Molecule: transfer RNA, 75 nt
Filed under: Clostridiales bacterium
Lineage: Bacteria; Bacillati; Bacillota; Clostridia; Eubacteriales
Also listed under: 1 other name
Description: tRNA-Cys
Rfam family: tRNA
About the family: Transfer RNA (tRNA) molecules are approximately 80 nucleotides in length.
Source: RNAcentral
GGCGCCAUAGCCAAGUGGUAAGGCAAAGGUCUGCAAAACCUUCAUUCGUCGAUUCGAAUUCGACUGGCGCCUCCA